UCUCUACGGGCGCUGGCUUCUCACGGGUCAGGCAGGAAGGUGAGGGUGCUGGCUUACUGGUGUGCACGGCUUUGCCUCUGCAGAGCAACUGCAUCUUCAGAACGCUGACCGUGGAGCAAUGACUCACAUAGCAAAUAGAUAUCGCAGGAAGUAGCAGGGCUGGAUAACUGAUUUAAAUAGCCAAACCUGCUGUUUUCCCCAUAAUACCGUAAUUAAAUAUUUCUAGCAAAUUUUCGGUUGUAAGAUGAACACGUUCUAAGGAUCUGCUAACUGACCUGUACAGUGACUGUGGAUUGUGGAUGAUCAACUUCAACAGAAAAAGUUACAGAGGAGAUCUCACCUAAAGAUGAGGAAGAGAAACAGGCAGAAGAAUCCUCGCCUCAAAUGAGGUCAGGGAGACGUUUGAAAUGUGGGGAACCUGCCGAAUUUCGUGGAAAAGCUGCCCCUGAGGGAGGCUGUAGUGGUGAGCGGAGAAUCUGUUUAACCAGGCAAGGUCACACUUGUGCAAAUGCUCAACGGGAAGCAAACCAAGUGUCACUGGUUCCCGGUUAAAGCUGCACAAAAAGAAAGCGAUUUCAUUGAGCCAAUAGCAGCAGUUAUUUCACGAGUGAUGUCACAGUCGCCUUGUGCGGUGGCCCUCUUCUCUCUUGACUCCCUCGCCCCAGCCAGGAAGGUUUUCAAAGGAAUCAGAAAUCAUGCUACAGCCUGAUGCCUUGCCAUUAACAAAAUGAGUUCUGAUUCCAAAUACAAAGAUAACAUCUGGAGUCAUCUUGUACAUACAGUGCUGUGGUCAGCUGGCCAUGAACUUCCUGUCUGGACAGGAAGUGCAUCAUUCAUGAUGGUGGCAGGCCCUCGGGCAGUCAGGGUGGAAGAAAGACUGCAAUAUUAAUCGUUAAACUGUAGAGUUAGCAGUCUCCGAAGCUCUAUUUCUCCCUUUCAUUCCGCUCUGCAUGCCUUGUACUCUUUGUUGCCCAUAACUGGUUUGACAAAUUUAAUGGCAACUGAAUUUCUGUAGUGCAGUCACCUUAGCCAAAAGUUAGACGAAAAUCUUUAAAUAGAGCCAAGCAUGUGACUGAACAGCUAACCUCUCCUAAACUCCUCAGUGGAUUUUUAUUUUAAAAAAGGAUGUCAACACCAGCUGAAUCUCUAAACAUGUAAAAUUCCAGGCGUGCGGUCCAUUGAAACAUUUCAGGCCUCCAAAGAAAGGUAUCCACAGUCGGGGGCUCCAGGUGGACUCUGCCCAGGACUCUGGCCACUCACCCAUCCCAGAAGUGCUUGGAACAAGGACCUGUCUUCUGCGACACGGUCUGCAUCACCUGGCAUCACGCCCAGCGUAAACAAACGGCCCGAUACAUAUUUGCUAAGUAAACGAUCUGCUUCCAGCCUGUAACCCUCACCCUGCUUUUAGCUGAUUCCAUUUCUCUUUAUGACCAACACAAAAAUCAAUCAUGGGGAUGUUUUGCGAAGCAGGAAGUGAGCAGUUUACCCAAGCACCAUCCCCGGAAAGCUGCUGGACAAAUAUAAAUGUGUUACUCAGUGGUCACACGGAGCUAGGGGACCCCUUCCUAAUGAAGGGUCCACCCCGGGUCAGCUCGGGUAGCUCACAGCAAAACAUCUAAGGCGCGGAAGUUGUUCCCAGUCAGUGACACCUCAAAUACAUCUUGAGUGUGGGCUUCCUUUAUUUAAAAAAAAAAAAGUGUUUUAGAAAAAUCAUCAUAAAAUAUUCAAGACUUCGGCAUUUUAUGACUCAGAAUAAUUUCAUCUUGUGUAUAUGUAAGCCUGGAAUGAAACACCUCUGAACACAGCUGUUUACCUGCACCACAAGGCGGCCCUGAAUGAGCUGCACGAUUAAACCCCGAUUUCCCCUUCCCACCUCGCUCUCCCUCCACCUGGGAACCAAAUACUCUUCAACACUUUUAAUCCCUGCCUCUCUUUAAAAUAAGAAAGACUCUGAGGUGAACUAAUCAGUAAGUGAACAUUCACCAUAGAGAGAAAAUACAACUAAAAAGAAGAAAUCACUACUAUUAACAUUCUGCUGUAUACUUUUUCAGGAUCCUUUUUUCUCUGUGAGAUUUUAUGUAUUUUAAGACUACUUUUCCACUUACAGUGUAUCUUGUCACCCUGCACCAAUAAAUCUCCUACAACAUGGAUGAUUAAAUGACCAUUCUGUACAAGUUUUCAACAGACUAAAGGAACAGAAUGAAAUUGAACAGGGACAGGCUUGAGGUAGAAAUUCAGAAAAUAAAGCAUUUUAUGAUGCUCAGCUUGCAUUUUAGGAAGGCAGUGGUUAGCUGUUGACAGUAGAUAUGAGAAGACAGCUUUGGGGUGAAGAAUCAGCAAAUCUCAGCUAGCAUGUCCCACAGCACUCUGGGAGGUUAAGGCAUGCCCCAUGGCAUCCUGGGAAGUUCAGGCAUGCCCCGUGGCACUCUGGGAAGUUAAGGUAGAAGGCUUGCGAGCUUCGGCUCAGUUUGGGCAAUUUAGCUAGAACUUUUCUCAAAAUAAAAUUCCAAAAAUGUGCUGGGGAUAUAGCUGAGUGUGAAGGGGCCAGAGUCCAAUCCUCAGUACCACUAAAAUGAAAACAAAAUCAUCAGGCCUUGUCCAGGGUUCGGGAAAUGAAGACAGAGAAAUCAGGAACGACUUCCAGGAUUUGGCCCUGGGGACCUGCACCCCCAAGAGAAAGAAGGCCUUGAGGGGAUGAGGGAAAUACAAAAUAACGAGGUCAGCUGUGGACACUGGAGCAGCAUGUCUUGGAAGUUAAUGUGCAGGCACCCGGCUUGGGGAUCUCCUAAGGUGGAUUCUGCAUCCAUGGGGCCUCAGACCCUGCACUUCCCACGAGUUUCCAGGAAAGACCGUUGGUGCCCUAAGCCCUGGGACUCCACUUGGAGUUUCAGGAGCCAAAAACUAGCCACAAAGAUUCCUUGCUUUAUCUUUUCUGCUUACUCCUCUCUCCAAGGUCCAAGACUUUCCUGGCUUUCUUGCUAUCCUUUAUCCAUUGUUAUGGUUGAUACAUUGUGUCAACCUGCGAAGGUCA
Long non-coding RNA from Cavia porcellus (domestic guinea pig), 3031 nucleotides. RefSeq lists it as uncharacterized. Lineage: Eukaryota; Metazoa; Chordata; Mammalia; Rodentia; Caviidae. The transcript has 4 exons. The record is from RefSeq and is a predicted model, not a curated record.